Molecule: long non-coding RNA, 2533 nt
Filed under: Sus scrofa (pig)
Lineage: Eukaryota; Metazoa; Chordata; Mammalia; Artiodactyla; Suidae
Description: lncRNA (ENSSSCG00035029641.1)
Source: RNAcentral
CGCCUCCUUCACACCCCUCCCAUGGCCCCUGCAUCGGCCACUGUGUGCCAGGUCUGAGUUCACACAGACUUCUGGCUUCUGUGAACCCAGGACGGAAGACUUGAACUUCUCAGCUCCAAUCUGCUGGGCUAACUCAGAGGUGGCUUUUUUGGUUCAUGAUGUCUCUUUGUAGAGAUGUGGCUUCUUUUAUGCAGCUGCCGGGACCCACAUUUUAAACCUGGUGGAUUUUCUGGGGUGGGGGGGAGGGUAAUAGAAGACUAUUUUCCAGGAACCCUUUUAAAUGUCCUGGGAAAAGCCAUCAAUUGAAAAAGCAUUCCUGUGCUUGGGUGGAUCUUCUGGGCAACCCCAGCAAAUCACUCUCACUUGGGCUUCCUCUUUUCAGUCGGAGGACACAGGAAUUAGCAGAUUUCCAAGGCUGCUUCCAGCUCAGAUAUUUUAGCUCUGUGACUCUUACUCCUUUGUUUGGAAAGGUUACAUAUCUCUUGGUUUUCUUAAAAUUAGGUAAGAAGAGAAUUGAAGAAGGCUUUAAAAUGUCCCCCCAAAAUAGCAGGUCCUAAACCCUGGAACCUGUAAAUGUUACCUUCUUUGAGAGAGAAGGUAAUUUUUUUUUUUUUGGCUGCAUCCAUAGCAUGCGGAAGUUCCCAGGCUAGGGGUCCAAUCGGAACUGUAGUCUCCGGCCUACGCCAGAGCCACAGCAACGCGAGAUCCGAGCCGCGUCUGCAACCUACACCACAGCUCACGGCAACGCCGGAUCGUUAACCCACUGAGCAAGGGCAGGGACCGAACCCGCAACCUCAUGGUUCCUAGUCGGAUUCGUUAACCACUGCGCCACAACGGGAACUCCUUGUUAUUCUUUUUUGAUAGAGCAUUUAUAUUUAUCAAGAUGACUCCGGUUAUGCUAUUUCUAUGAAAAGCUCCCAGUCCCUGUGGUCUCACUAACAACGGUUUACUUCAUACUCAUGGACACAUUCAUCUGUGGUUGGUAUGUGUGUGUGUGAGCAGGGAGGCCCCUUGCCCCAUCUUAUACGCCGGGACUCAGGCAGGUCCCACCCCCCCCUGCCAUGUCAGAGUUUACACUGGCUGCAGAAAGUUACCUGGGGAGUCCCAGACUGGCUCUUGAAGGCUUUUGCUCACAGUUCGUGGGCCAGCGCUGGUCCCGCGGGCACUGUUCCCUUCCAGGAGCUGGGAGAGGUCAGUGUGUCGGGGACAAGAGGAAGCAGAGGGUUCCUGGUGGCCUGAAGGACCCCCGUGCUAUUCUGACCAACUUCCCUUUUGAAUGUCUAAGCUCGAGGCUGUAACAAAGCUGUGCCUUUGAAAGAAGAGCUUGAGAAGCUGGCUGAAAUAUGAAUGACAAGCAACCAUCUGACCUCUAGAAGAAGUUAUAGGAAAGCUACGUCCACCAGCCAUAAGGUCAAGUAGAUCUAUGGCGCUGGGCCGAUUGCCUAGACCCCUUUGUAGCUCCCAAGGGCGCACCUCAUGCUGUCGCAGCUCAAGUGAAAUUUAGUGCUGCACAGUUCCUUUGCCAGGCACCGUGCCAAGGUCGAGGAUACAUGAUUAACUGGGAUCAUUAAGAAAAAUUUAGAAUAUAUUUAUUAUAUUGAUCAUAAGACCAGGGAAGCGUCUUUUCCCUUAGUUAAAACGAAAUGUUUUAGCAAUAAAAGCAGUGAGACUUUCGUUACCUACAAAAGUCACUUAAAUGUUACCUAGGGAAUUGGUGCUGUAAAUAGUUUUCCAUUUUCUUCCUGUGUAGUUGGUAAGUGCUUGAUCCUUUGGACAAUCUUCCAGUCUCCCUUGUUCUUAAUUUCCUCUUGUUCAUCAGGCUCAUGAUUUUUGAGCAUCUCCAGUAGUGCACUGAAAAUUAGGCUACUCUGAUACAAGCGUAUAUGUGAGCACACACAUGCACGCACGCACACACACACACACACACACACACUCACUCACACCUUUCUGCUGGGAGAAAUAGGGGCUUCAGCAAACAGAAGGUCGUUGGUUGGGGUCAGAGAGGGUACCUGGCAUUGUUUUGGUCAAGCCUUACCUGUUAUCUUUGCUCUUUGCUCCCCAUACACUCUCAGGCAUCCUUUAUGCAGGUGGCUGGAAAGAAAACUUCCUAAAUAUCUUUGGCUCGCUUUCCUGGAGAUCUUCCUACUUAAUCGGCCAAACAGAUAUUUAUCAGACAUGGUUUUUAACCCCCGGGCAUGGUGAGGAAGCAACAAGAAGGGUCAGGUAUGGCCCUAGCACUCCGGGAGCUUACAGUUUGGAGGUGGGGAGAGAAACUGCUAGGUCCCUGCAAGGUGCCAGGCACUGUCCCCUGCCUGUUCUGGAUGCAGCAUCAGACUUAAGCCUACAAUAGCCCUUACCAGCUGUUGGGUUUUUUUGGUCAUUGUUUUUUCUCCUUGAUGAUGUAGGGAUUGAGACUAGGAGAAGACUAAUGACUUUGUCAUGCCUACGUAGUUAAUGGCAGCAUUUAUAUGGAGCUAGGAUUCUUUUUUAAAAAAUUGCUAUGGGAGUUCCCAUUGUGGCACAGUGGAAAUGC